AUUUAUGUAGCCUAAUGGUCAGGGCUUGGGACUUAGGCUCCUAAGGUCUCAGGUUCGAAACUUCCCAAUCACAAGUG
Molecule: non-coding RNA, 77 nt
Organism: Rhododendron molle
Lineage: Eukaryota; Viridiplantae; Streptophyta; Magnoliopsida; Ericales; Ericaceae
Source: the annotation of a GenBank genome assembly